AGUAGAUUGGGAAACUCUUCAAAUCAUUAUGAAAUACCGAGAACAAGCUUAGCCGGCUAAUGGCGGGCCUCGACGUAGCGUUUCGGCGAUACGUGCCUUUGUGCCGGAGGAUUACAAAGGACGGCGAGCACUCAAACCUUGUUUUUUUCGGAGUUUCAUCGCAUCCUUUGGUGUGGCUCUUA
This 182-nucleotide small RNA is filed under the name human gut metagenome. RNAcentral's name for it is "Bacteroidales-1 6S-Bacteroidales RNA suggested". It matches the Rfam family "Bacteroidales-1 6S-Bacteroidales RNA suggested". The record is from RNAcentral.